CACGAGCUACUUGAGGAACAGAAUGACUUGAGGCACAACAAGUGGUUUAUGAACAGAUGGGAGGUACCCUUAGAGAAUCAAUGGAUGCUGAAAAGGAUACGGAAGAGAAUUUAUAAACUACCCCACUAGCAUUCCUUAGCAGACCUACUACUUUGACUGGAAUGAUGUGGCUCUGAGCUGCUUUGCCAAAUUCUUCAUGGAGCAGUCCCACAAAGAGAGGAAAUAUGCAGAGAAGUUCUUUGACAUCUCUCUGCAGAUUGUUAAGUUCUAGAAAGGCAUGACCCACAAAGCUAGUUAUAAUCCCAACUUUCAACAAACAACAUGGUCUGCUUAAAGAGGGUCUUCCUUGUGCCCUGGGGCAACUACCUCACUUACUGAUGGACUCCAUGUCGGAGCGGAAGCCGGAGCAAGACAAGUUGGGUGUGGCCUGGAGGCCCUGCAGCUGAAGAGGACCAUCAAUCAGGCCUGGUUGGAGCUACACAAGAUGAUGACAAGGAAAGUGGCUCUCGCUUGAGCUGGAGACUGACAAAUUUCAGAUACUUGCUGAGUGCCAGACAAGAGGAAGCCAAUUUGAGCAGCUAGAACACCCAAAAGCAGCAUUUUGAGAUUUGGAGCAAAAACGGGUUGCCGAUCCUGAAAAAUUUCUGCUGCAACUAUCCCAGGA
This 664-nucleotide long non-coding RNA is filed under the name Ornithorhynchus anatinus (platypus). RNAcentral describes it as "lncRNA (ENSOANG00000049342.1)". Lineage: Eukaryota; Metazoa; Chordata; Mammalia; Monotremata; Ornithorhynchidae. The record is from RNAcentral.